AAGGAGGUGAUCCAUCCGCAUACUUUGCAGUUUGUGCCCACAGCCAUUGGCUCGCGCGCUAUAGGAAUCGCUUGCACGUAUGGAUCAAACACGUAUGGGGUUUUGAGCUAGAGCAAUCAAGAUACCAGUUUCUUUUUUAGUGUAAUCAAUGAAAAUUCACCUACGUGUAAUAGCCACCUGCAGAAGAGCAAUGUCGUUUUGAAGAAUGCUGAGAUUGAAUUCCGGGUGUACGAUAUAUUCUUUCCCAUAACUCCAUUGAUGAGCUUCAUCUGUAUUUUUAAGGUCAACUUCCCCAGCGAUGACAAUUAUUGAAGGAGCAUCAAUCAUAUUGCUAGAGGAACUGGCAGGGACGUUAGGUGAUUUUAUAAAACAGAAAAAAAAUUUCUUAAUGCCAUUUUGUUGUAACAUAAUUGAAAAAAAAUACCAGAUGUUUUCUAAACCAAAAGGGAAUGCUCAGGUUCUAAAUGAGCGAAAUAUUUGUUUACAAUUCUUUGCUUGUCAUGAUAACCUAAAAAGUCAAUUGCUCGACUACAAGUCAAGUGACCGUCGACUAAAAACCUAAUGUAUAACAAACCAAUCACAUCACGCAAAUAGCUACAGAGAUUACAGUUCAUGUCUGAGCAGAAACUUCAGAGAGGAAAUACUCACUAGAACAUGCAGUGAGCUGCGGUGAGAACCCAGUCGGGCGUCAAUAUACUGCCACCGCAGAAAUGGCUUUGGGACUGGCCCCUCCGCAGGGAAACCUGAAAUCCUUCUAUCAACGGAGCCCUCGCUUUUCAAGUUCGCCGCCGCGAUAAGCACGUCGAUAAUCCUCACCUGCUGUGGCGAUUCGCCCAAAACCGCUUUGAUGCCGUUGAUGAUUCGAUUUUUAAAAUUGUCCUUCAAUUUUUCUUCGUUCAUCGAUGCUACACAGGACUUUUCCAGUCGGUCUGAAAUCGAAUGAAAUACACUUAUCGAAGCACGCCUAGCGGUGAACUUGUGAUUUCCAGGAGAUGCACAUGAACAAGUAUAAUGGUGAAUGACAUUGUUGUGCAAAAUGCGGAUGGAUCACCUCCUU
Molecule: ribosomal RNA, 1057 nt
Filed under: Wolbachia pipientis
Lineage: Bacteria; Pseudomonadati; Pseudomonadota; Alphaproteobacteria; Rickettsiales; Anaplasmataceae
Description: partial 16S ribosomal RNA
Source: RNAcentral